This 935-nucleotide ribosomal RNA is filed under the name uncultured archaeon. RNAcentral's name for it is "bacterial SSU rRNA". It matches the Rfam family "Archaeal small subunit ribosomal RNA", at positions 1 to 922 of the family's 1478-position model. The record is from RNAcentral.
UUCCGGUUGAUCCCGCCGGACCCGACUGCUAUUUGGGUGAGGAUAAGCCAUGCGAGUCGAAUGGGAUACCUAAAUUUCCCAUGGCGAACUGCUCAGUAACACAUGAUCAACUUAACCUAUUGAGAAAGAUAACCUCGGGAAACUGAGGAUAAUAUUUCAUAGUUGAAUUGGCUUGGAAAAGUUUUUCAACAAAAGGGAUAGGGAAAAUGGUCUCUAUCCGCUAUAGGAUAGGAUCGUGUUCGAUUAUGGUAGUUGGUGAGGUAACGGCUCACCAAGCCGAUAAUCGAUAGGGGCCGUGAGAGCGGGAGCCCCGAGAUGGGUACUGAGACAACGACCCAGGCCUUACGAGGCGCAGCAGGCACGAAACCUCCACAAUACACGAAAGUGUGAUGGGGUUACCCAAAGUGUUCAUUAUUGAACUGUGGUAGGAGAGUAAUGUCCCCUACUAGAAAGGAGAGGGCAAGGCUGGUGCCAGCCGCCGCGGUAAAACCAGCUCUUCAAGUGGUCGGGAUAAUUAUUGGGCUUAAAGUGUCCGUAGCCGGUUUAGUAAGUUCCUGGUAAAAUCGGGUAGCUUAACUAUCUGUAUGCUAGGAAUACUGCUAUACUAGAGGGCGGGAGAGGUCUGAGGUACUACAGGGGUAGGGGUGAAAUCUUAUAAUCCUUGUAGGACCACCAGUGGCGAAGGCGUCAGACUGGAACGCGCCUGACGGUGAGGGACGAAAGCCAGGGGAGCGAACCGGAUUAGAUACCCGGGUAGUCCUGGCCGUAAACGAUGCAUACUAGGUGAUGGUAUGGCUAUGAGCCAUAUCAGUGCCGUAGGGAAACCGUUAAGUGUGCCGCCUGGGAAGUACGGUCGCAAGGCUAAAACCUAAAGGAAUUGGCGGGGGAGCACCACAAGGGGUGAAGCCUGCGGUUCAAUUGGAUUCAACGCCGGG